This 774-nucleotide ribosomal RNA is filed under the name uncultured Neocallimastigales. RNAcentral describes it as "partial large subunit ribosomal RNA". It matches the Rfam family "Eukaryotic large subunit ribosomal RNA", at positions 24 to 642 of the family's 3401-position model. The record is from RNAcentral. Lineage: Eukaryota; Fungi; Neocallimastigomycota; Neocallimastigomycetes; Neocallimastigales.
UAUCUCUGUAGAGUCUGCAUAUCAAUAAGCGGAGGAAAAGAAACUAACAAGGAUUCCCCUAGUAACGGCGAGUGAAGCGGGAAGAGCUCAAAUUUGAAAUCUUCAAGGUUUGACCUUGACGAAUUGUAGUUUAAAGAAGUGUUUUCGGUUAGAGGAGUAGUAAAAGUUCUUUGGAAUAGGACAUCAUAGAGGGUGAGAAUCCCGUAUUUGACUAUUCUUUCUAACUUUGUGAUACACUUUCAAAGAGUCGGACUGUUUGGGAAUGCAGUCCAAAAUGGGUGGUAAAUUUCAUCUAAAGCUAAAUAUUGGCGAGAGACCGAUAGCGAACAAGUACCGUGAGGGAAAGAUGAAAAGAACUUUGAAAAGAGAGUUAAACAGUACGUGAAAUUGUCAAAAGGGAAGCGUUUGACACCAGUGUUGUUUUUCCGAAAAUCAAUUUAAAAUUGAUUCAUGCCAGGUUGUAUUGACCUUAUCAGCUUGCAAUUUGGUUUUGGGUCUCUUUUUGAUGCACUUUUCGGUUAACAAGUCAACAUCAAUUUCCUUUGCUGUAAAAAGGUAAGAGGAAGGUGGCUUCAAUUUCGGUUGAAGUGUUUAUAGCCUUUUAUCUCUGCAGUCGGGGAGAUUGAGGUCUGCAGCGUAGAUCCUUCGGGGCUAGAUACAUUUAUGCUAAGUUAUAGCUUUUCAUAGACAACUUGUUGACUAUGUUUAGUCAUGUAGCUUACUCGUAAGUGCUAUUUUACCUACGCUUAGGAUGUUGAAGACUCUACAGAGAUA